AGGCAUGUGGUUUAAUUCGAAGCAACGCGAAGAACCUUACCAGGUCUUGACAUCCCGAUGCUAUUUCUAGAGAUAGAAAGUUACUUCGGUACAUCGGUGACAGGUGGUGCAUGGUUGUCGUCAGCUCGUGUCGUGAGAUGUUGGGUUAAGUCCCGCAACGAGCGCAACCCCUAUUGUUAGUUGCCAUCAUUCAGUUGGGCACUCUAGCGAGACUGCCGGUAAUAAACCGGAGGAAGGUGGGGAUGACGUCAAAUCAUCAUGCCCCUUAUGACCUGGGCUACACACGUGCUACAAUGGUUGGUACAACGAGUUGCGAGUCGGUGACGGCGAGCUAAUCUCUUAAAGCCAAUCUCAGUUCGGAUUGUAGGCUGCAACUCGCCUACAUGAAGUCGGAAUCGCUAGUAAUCGCGGAUCAGCACGCCGCGGUGAAUACGUUCCCGGGCCUU
Molecule: ribosomal RNA, 446 nt
Filed under: uncultured Streptococcus sp.
Lineage: Bacteria; Bacillati; Bacillota; Bacilli; Lactobacillales; Streptococcaceae
Description: bacterial SSU rRNA
Rfam family: Bacterial small subunit ribosomal RNA
Source: RNAcentral